GGUAUAAUUGAAAUGAUAAUUCCGACUGCUUCCAUUUCAUUCCCUUUUCUCUUUUAAAAGAGGGAGGAUAUGUAUUUCGAAAAAAAUAAAAGUAAUAAUGGCGGGAAAGUAGAAAAAAUAAUUCGUCGGUAACAAAAUUCCCAAAUACCCGACGAAGCUCAUUUUUCUCUAAAGAUAAUGUUGCUCUCUUCUCUUCAUGAAACCCCGCUCUCUGACAAAAAAUUUGUCCUAAAAAAAAAUAAUUCUUCCCAACGAGAUAUUCCAAAAUAUUCCAGAAAGAUGAAACUCAUUUUUCUCGUAUUUUUUUUUUUUUUUUUAUAAAAAUAUGCGCUCGAAAAUUUUAUCCCUUAAAAAUAUUUCGUUCGAUCCACGACGGAAAAAAUGGAAUAAGUAAAUCAAAAUAUGAAAAGGGAAUGUUUCGAACAGAUAUUCAUUUCUAAGAAAAACAUUUCUCAUGAAAUCGCAUCGCAUCGAAAAUUAUUCCCUCUCGAAAGAUCCGAAAUUCUCUCGAUCUAAAAUUUUCAAACGAAAACCCAUACUUCUUCGAAAACUUUUCUCCUCUCGAACAGAAAGAGCAAUAAAACAAUUGUUAAAAAAACUCCAAAAUCUCUUCGAUUCAUUACACGACAAAUAAAACUCGUACGUAUACAAAAAUUCUCUCGUUCCAAACGAAAAAUCAAUUCCUCGAUUCCCCAAAUCGUCUACACUAUACUAUAUAUCUUCCUCUCGAAAACCGAUUCUUCCAAUUCUCCGCAAAAUAAAAUCGAUAAAACCCCCCCCUUUUUUUUUAUCGAAUCGAAGAUCGGACUCGGGAAUGGGAAAAGGCGAGACGUAUGCGGCGGGGCAAACAUGGCUGCGACGGCCGUCGGAACAUGGCGGGCCGCCUCGCGAUGGCCAAACGUCGCGUCCUUGUUACGGAAUUCCUUUUCGCCUGUGUUUACAUCUCGCUGUGUUUUGAAGAAUCGUCGCGUUCCAACGGUCACCGCUCACCGUUGGAAUAUCGGCUCGAGGCACAACACGUCGAACCGCGCUUCUAUUAAUACGUAGCUCACGAGCUGUCGGCCAGUGCGUUUCGUGCGUGUGUGAAAACCGUGUGCUACCGAGUAACAACGACCGAGUUCCCCUCUCUCCUCCCCCCUCGAGUACGUAGGCAACCCGUAAUACGCCUAUUCGGAGACAAACGUGCAACGGGGCCUGCCAGGAUGUAAAUGCGAGAUGCACUUUGAAUCGAAAUAUUUUUUGAAGAGAGACUCGUCUCGAGAGACACGGUAGGAUAGAUAGGAUAGGUGUGGAGUCGAGAAUAUGGCGGUGUUCGUUUGCAUGAAAAUGAAGAAAAGAAUUUAUUUCGCCCCGUAUGAGAAACGGCACGCGUUUCCAGCGAUGAUUUAUAAUGGCGGAGUCGGCCACGGAAUUUCGCGAUUGUUUGACAAAGGAUUUUUGCUCGGAUCGUUGGUUAUUGGAAGGCCGAGGGUUCCAACGCAAUAAUGCAUCGGGAUUGGAUUUCUCGAAUGGGAAAAGAAAAGAAAAAGACUGGAAAUUGAGCAGUUUUUACGAUUCGAUAACAAAGCCAGAAAAUCCUCUCUCUCUCUUUCAAAGAAGAAGAAGAAGAAGAAGAAGAAGAAGAAGAAGAAGAAAAAGGAGAAGGAGAAGGAGAAUUAAUUGGCACGAAAAUGUACGGAUGGAGAGAUAUGGUGGGGAAGAAAAGAAAAAGAGGAAAGUGGUAGUACGAAAACCGUCUCCUCUAACCGGCAAUUUCCGGCAAUACGAUCGAAGAAAGGGAGCAAAAUGAAGAAAGAUUGCGCAUGCAACGAGACACACAUUCUUCUCUCUCUCUCUCUCUCUCUCUCUCUCUGUCUCUCUCUCUCUCUCUCUCUCUCUCUCUCUCUCUCUGUCUCUCUCUCUCCUCGAGCAUCGAUACUUGGAAGCAACAAUGUGGCCCAACCGUGCAAUUUGCAUCCGAAACUAAGCGCGAAAGGGGUCGUUCCGUGCGAUGUGUGUUUUUCGUUUUCGAGUUUCGUGAUUUCGUGCAUCGAAACGAAACGAAGAUUCACGAUUAUUAAGAGCGGAGCUUGUAACAAUGUUUGCGGGUAACAUUUUCGAUUUUACAUCUCGAUAUCUCGUGAGAAUGUGAUAUAAAUUCGAAAGUUGAAUUUAUCGAAACAGCAGCGGGUUGGCAUAAAAUUAUCAAUCGAAUAUAUUUAUAUUUGUAGCUCAAUUUUUUAAAUCUUUGACAAUAAAAAUUGAAUCGAAUUUUCGUUUUAAAGAGAUACGAGUUUUCAGUUUCAUUUUCGGUUCGCUUGACUGGCUUUUCAAAAAAAAAAGGGAAAGGAAGACCUUUCGAAUUUAUCGUUUCGAAACGAAAUUCUCCGCCAGAUCGUUAAGCGCCUAUUUCGAAUACGCCUUGUUGUUGACGAACGACGAUAGAAAAAGAAGAAGUGGCGAAAGAAAGAAAGGGAUAACCGAUUAUCAACCGUGGUGGGCUGCUCGAUCGAUCAACUUGCGAAUAUGGCAAUAAUUUUCUCGGGCUCGAGAGCCGACUGGGGCGCCAUCUUCGAAUUACAUUUACAAUUACAUCGAACUCGUUAAAUUUUCUCCGAUAUCCUCGAAUUAAAUUAUAAUAAUUCUUGUUACGAAUAUCUUAUAUCUUCGUAUCACGCGUAACCUCAACUCGUGAAUUCGACUCACGGUUGAAGCUCCCUCGAAAUUAAUACUCGCGAAAAAGGGAAAAAGGAAAAAUAUACGAAGAGAAACAAAUCUCUCCUGGUGGCGAGGGCCGACCAUUCGAAGCAAUUAGCCUCUCUCUCUUUCUCUCUCUCUCUCUGUGAAAGCGUGGCUGGAUUUGCCGCCAAAUUGCAGCGAACGAAAUCGCGUUAAUACGUUUGCACUUUCGAAACUCGGCCGUUUGGGCCCCGAAGCCAGCUCCUCGAGGAGGAGCCUCCUCCUCGCGCAACGGAAAAACGGAGCAAGGGGGGAGGGAGCGAGAGGAGGGGGGAUGGCGGCCAUGGCUGGGUCGAGGACCAGUUCGACGAGCCCUCUCUGUGCCCUCGCCUCGCCUCGGACGAUACACAUUCGAUUUGGCGCGAUCGCACAGCUUGCUCGAAAAGAACGCAGCUUUACUUCGCUUCGAGCGAUACGUUUGAAAAAGAAAAAGGGAAAGGAAGGAAGAAAACGGUCGUUGUUUCACGGGGGCAGGAUUGUGUAGUAAUUAUUAUCCAAUGUUUGGGGAAGCGGGUUCGAUCUCUGGUCAACUACGGGAUAAUCCAUCGUGGCGGCGAUGAAUCAUGGGAGGAUGCCGAGGGAUAACCGAAGAAGCGUCUCCAAAAGGAUGGAGGGAGGGGUGUUCAGAAACUGCUCGCUUGAAAGAAGGAGAGGAAGGAGGGAGGAUGAUAAGCAGGCAGGAAGUCCGGUUGCCCUCCGUUUCUCGAGGAAAAAGGGAACAAAAUAAAAGCUUCCUUUCCCUCCCUUCUUUUUAAAAUUUUAAAAUUCUGCCAAUCCAAAGUGCGGUUUCUGAGGUAACGAGUUCGAAGAAAACCUUUUCCUUUUCGAGAAAAAAAAAUAGAACUUCUCCUCUUUCAACGUCUUGUUCGUUAUCUCUCUAAAAUUGUGCACCAAUUGCACAAUUGUGCAGACAAUUUCUCGUCUUUCCUAAGGAAAGUGUCUUAUCCUUCGGUCAAAUAUCAAAAAGUUGGUGAAAAAUUGAGAUAUUCGAUUCUCUCGCACGAUGAAACGCGACCCUUCCCACCCGCGCCUCUCCUAACGACGACGUCUUGGUCGUACGACGUCGACGACGACGAGGACGUGACGCGUAGGGUGGCUAACAACUUGGGGGGAUAUAAUUAGCGUCGGAAGAUAGUUAAUCAGGGAGAGGGGGGGAGAAGCGACGAGGGCGAACGCGACCUGUCGUCUCCUUAUUAAAGCCAAACAGAAGUGUCUAGGCGUUGUAGUGACGUCAUUAUUAAUUCAAGAACGCCCGCCGCUAAUGACCGCGGCAAUUACUCGCCGAUGCUGGAAUCCUCCUCUCCCGGGACAAGAAGAAUGGCCGUGGAGAUACAACGUUCGAUCCUUUGUUGUUUCUUGUCGCGUCUUUCUUUCUUCCUCUUCCUCUUCCUCUUUUCCUUUUUUCAUUUCGGACGGAUUUAUGAUCA
Apis cerana (Asiatic honeybee) is the source of this 4145-nucleotide long non-coding RNA. RefSeq lists it as uncharacterized. NCBI's taxonomy places the organism in Eukaryota, Metazoa, Arthropoda, Insecta, Hymenoptera, Apidae. The record is from RefSeq and is a predicted model, not a curated record.